RNAcentral lists this ribosomal RNA (484 nucleotides) under uncultured bacterium. RNAcentral's name for it is "partial 16S ribosomal RNA". It matches the Rfam family "Bacterial small subunit ribosomal RNA", at positions 28 to 507 of the family's 1533-position model. The record is from RNAcentral.
AUUGAACGCUGGCGGCAUGCUUUACACAUGCAAGUCGAACGGCAGCGCGGGCUUCGGCCUGGCGGCGAGUGGUGAACGGGUGAGUAAUGCAUCGGAACGUGCCCAGUAGUGGGGGAUAGCCCGGCGAAAGCCGGAUUAAUACCGCAUACGACCUGAGGGUGAAAGCGUGGGACCGAAAGGCCUCGCGCUAUUGGAGCGGCCGAUGUCGGAUUAGCUAGUUGGUGGGGUAAAGGCUUACCAAGGCGACGAUCCGUAGCUGGUCUGAGAGGACGACCAGCCACACUGGGACUGAGACACGGCCCAGACUCCUACGGGAGGCAGCAGUGGGGAAUUUUGGACAAUGGGGGCAACCCUGAUCCAGCCAUGCCGCGUGCGGGAAGAAGGCCUUCGGGUUGUAAACCGCUUUUGUUCGGGAAGAAAUCCUCUGGGCUAAUACCCCGGGGGGAUGACGGUACCGGAAGAAUAAGCACCGGCUAACUACGUG